Molecule: ribosomal RNA, 463 nt
Filed under: uncultured bacterium
Lineage: Bacteria
Description: bacterial SSU rRNA
Rfam family: Bacterial small subunit ribosomal RNA
Source: RNAcentral
CCAGACUCCUACGGGAGGCAGCAGUGAGGAAUAUUGGUCAAUGGUCGCGAGACUGAACCAGCCAAGUAGCGUGCAGGAUGACGGCCCUAUGGGUUGUAAACUGCUUUUAUGCGGGGAUAAAAUGCGUCACGUGUGAUGUUUUGUAGGUACCGCAUGAAUAAGGACCGGCUAAUUCCGUGCCAGCAGCCGCGGUAAUACGGAAGGUCCGAGCGUUAUCCGGAUUUAUUGGGUUUAAAGGGUGCGUAGGCGGGCAUUUAAGCCGGCGGUCAAAUGUCGGGGCUCAACCCCGGCCUGCCGUCGGAACUGGGUGCCUUGAGUGGGCGAGAAGUAUGCGGAAUGCGUGGUGUAGCGGUGAAAUGCAUAGAUAUCACGCAGAACCCCGAUUGCGAAGGCAGCAUACCGGCGCCCUACUGACGCUGAGGCACGAAAGUGCGGGUAUCGAACAGGAUUAGAUACCCUGGUA